UCAUCAUUUUAAUUUUAGUUUUUUCUGCAUCGUUAUGUGAUCUUUUUUCUUUUAGUUUAUGUUGGGUGAGAAUACAGAUUAUCUUUACAAGGGACUGCAUAAUCGGGAAUUCCAAGCGUUGAUAAGACUCUUCUUACAACAUUCAAAGCUCUGGUUCAUGGAAUUCACCAGGGUUCAGCUUGCUCCUGUGAUUUGAUAUUUAUGGCAUUCUGUCCUUUGGUGCCUUCAUAAUCCCUCAGGACGUGCUGUAUUUUUGUUUUGUAUACUUAAUUUUGUUGCCAUGGAUAUGGUCUGGUCCUUGGCAUUCCUGUUGCAAGAAAGUAGACCAAAACCAUCAGAAACACUCCAACCACUGUAAGAAACACAAAAAAUGCCUCGCACAUGUCGUCUCAUUAGGCAGUCUCAGAAACGCAGAACUGAUAGCAGAAAAUUUCCGUGAAAGGAUUUUAUGAAUUUGUGCUGCAUGUCCUGUAAAUGCAGAGAACCCCACAAACAUAUAUUCAUUCAAAUAGUUGGAAAUAUCAAGUCCAGCUGAAUAAAGUGGCUUGUUGGGCAUUGGGGAUCCAUCAUCUCUAGCAAGGCUUAGCUCAAUCCUUUGAUUAAUUCCGUCAUAUUCAAUCCAAGCUCUGACAUUGAAUCCAUCUCUGAAGAAAAUUACUGCAACACCAUCAUCUAUAGUCACAUUUAACACUAUGCUUCCCAAAUUUAUGCCAAUAUGAUUGUCAUUGGGAUCACCGAAUUCUUCAUUUUUUAAGGUGUCGAAUUCUACUUCAAGAACCUUUGAUGGAGGAGCAUCUUGCCAGAAUCUGCCAAAAUGGGGAGCUUUUAAAAUAACACAAUCUGCACAUCCAUCAAUGCAGGGCAGAGUGGGAAUUUUCGGCAGAUAUGAUAUUUAAAUUUCACUGUCAAAAUGUGGGAGUAUAGACCUGGCAUGUAACUGUUGAUAGAAUGACUCAAUGGAAUAUGGAAAUACUCAAUAAGUAUUUGUAAAGGAUGCUUUGGACACUUGGCAGGUAUAAUACCAAAUUCCACAACCGUUACCAACACUCUUCCUAAAGUAAGGCAUUGAUACGGCAGGGGCAGCUUAAGGGACAAAAUUUUAAUGCACCAUGAGGAGAGAUAGAUCAUGGGGAGAAUCGUGGGGAAAGGCCGUGGGAAAGGCUGUGCAGAGAAACAAAUAAAAACAGAGGCAUUGACACAUAAUGGGGGAUUGCGCAAAUGAUGGGGUGGAGAGAGGUAGUAAUAAGGAGUAUUGACCGAUAAGGAUUUGGGGGUAUUAUGGAUGGGGUGCCAAUCCAGCAUCUAGAAAGAAAGCUGUAGAAAUAUAUGUGUAGCUGUAUGGUGUGAGGAAAAGUUGCAGGUUAUAAUUUGUGGGAGAAAGCAGAGGCCCAUGCAAAUAGCAUUAUUUUUGAAUGGUUAAUAUGAUGUAUCGACUUAGAAUUUUGUUUGAAUAAAAUUGUUUCGUGUGAAUUUAAGUUUUGUAUAAGAAUAGAGAGUCUCUGUUCUGUCCAUGUAUGUUGAGUUCUUUGAGUUCUUAGUUUGUGCUGAGGUUGGUUUCUUGUUGCAUCAACCUUAUAUUUCUCAUCGCAGGCAUCGUUGAGCAUCCCCAGCCAGCCUCCAGGUCUUCCCACGGUGCUUUCAUCAGGUACGAUUACGAAAGCUAAGCCACUAGAAGAUCCAGAGUUGGAAUCUAUUUGGAAGGAGAAUGUUGUGUGAAAUGAAAUGAAGCAGAAGUGUCUGUGUCAGGAUCCAACAUCCUGAUGGGAGAGUAAUACAGAGCUUUUCCAGCCUGAAAGGAAAGAUUAUGAUUAAGAUCAUUGGUACUGGGUAUCCGAUGAUGCCUUCACUUUCUUGCAGCCCUGCACAGCCCAGAAACCUUAUUUCAUGAUUUAUUCAUUGUGGGCUCUGAACUCUAAAAUCUGGGAAAAUCGGUUGCUUUUAGACAUUGCUUGCAGAACCCAAUUUGCUACAGGACACUAAUUCUGAGUAUUGGACACCUCUGACAGUGCAAGGUAAAUGGGCUAUAAUAUUUUGCAUAUGAAAGUAGGAUUUUAUUUGUGAAUUAUUCUUGCAGGAUCAAAAUGCAUCUUUGACUGAAUUUAUUAAUUUAUUAAUUUUUUUUAUUAACAUAUAUAUAGAUUGGUUCCCUUUCCAACAGCUGGAUAGUAGUUAUCUGGAACAGAAUCCAAGAUCUAAAAUUCCUGCCAAGCAAUGAGAAUAUAUUAGACUGUAUCCAUCUGUUUCAUUCUGAAUAGAACUAAGAAAACACAUUUCAGCUUUGAAUGCUCAAUUCAGUUUCAGCAAUGCACAUUUUCUUCUGCCGAUCCAUUGUGUUGGUAGGAAAAUAUGUGUGGCUGACAUAUCAGGGAAGCAUAUGACUUAUCAAUUCAAAUUGGAUCAACUUUGAGGAGCUGUGAUGUUAGUUCGUGUUCAUUUGGAUAGGAAGAAAUAAUACAAAAACAAAUACCAAGGAGUGCUAAUUUAAAAGAUGUCCAAAAACUCCUACAUCCUU
This is a long non-coding RNA of Cryptomeria japonica (Japanese cedar), 2512 nucleotides long. RefSeq lists it as uncharacterized. The transcript has 5 exons. Lineage: Eukaryota; Viridiplantae; Streptophyta; Pinopsida; Cupressales; Cupressaceae. The record is from RefSeq and is a predicted model, not a curated record.